GGGAGCACAGGUUUACCUGUGUGACUGCGUACCUUUUGUAUAAUGGGUCAGCGACUUAUAUUCUGUAGCAAGGUUAACCGUAUAGGGGAGCCGGAGGGAAACCGAGUCUUAAUUGGGCGUUAAGUUGCAGGGUAUAGACCCGAAACCCGGUGAUCUAGCCAUGGGCAGGUUGAAGGUUGGGUAACACUAACUGGAGGACCGAACCGACUAAUGUUGAAAAAUUAGCGGAUGACCUGUGGCUGGGGGUGAAAGGCCAAUCAAACCGGGAGAUAGCUGGUUCUCCCCGAAAGCUAUUUAGGUAGCGCCUCGUGAAUUCAUCUCCGGGGGUAGAGCACUGUUUCGGCUAGGGGGCCAUCCCGGCUUACCAACCCGAUGCAAACUGCGAAUACCGGAGAAUGUUAUCACGGGAGACACACGGCGGGUGCUAACGUCCGUCGUGAAGAGGGAAACAACCCAGACCGCCAGCUAAGGUCCCAAAGUCAUGGUUAAGUGGGAAACGAUGUGGGAAGGCCCAGACAGCCAGGAUGUUGGCUUAGAAGCAGCCAUCAUUUAAAGAAAGCGUAAUAGCUCACUGGUCGAGUCGGCCUGCGCGGAAGAUGUAACGGGGCUAAACCAUGCACCGAAGCUGCGGCAGCGA
RNAcentral lists this ribosomal RNA (637 nucleotides) under Salmonella enterica subsp. enterica serovar Typhimurium. Its description in RNAcentral is "partial 23S ribosomal RNA". It matches the Rfam family "Bacterial large subunit ribosomal RNA", at positions 575 to 1211 of the family's 2925-position model. Lineage: Bacteria; Pseudomonadati; Pseudomonadota; Gammaproteobacteria; Enterobacterales; Enterobacteriaceae. The record is from RNAcentral.